Molecule: long non-coding RNA, 191 nt
Organism: Octopus sinensis (East Asian common octopus)
Lineage: Eukaryota; Metazoa; Mollusca; Cephalopoda; Octopoda; Octopodidae
Exons: 3
Source: RefSeq, a predicted model, not a curated record
ACACGACGGUCUUCCGUUCGCUCGGCGUCGAGCCGCCGGGCGCCGGAACACGUCUUCACGCGAAGCGGCGGACGGUACGGGGCUGUAGCGUUGGCGUCGGACUCGGCAUCCCGGGCGCCUUUCCGGCCGUCGCUGCCGCAGGCAACUCGUUUCGCGCCGGUGCGCGGUCGCGCCUUUGGUUAACGGGGGUC